AAAGCGUUUGUAGGUGGCCUAGAAAGUCUACUGUCAAAUAUCAAGGCUUAACCUUGAGCAGGCAGUGGAGUACUCCUAGGCUUGAGUGUGGUAGAGGUAGAGGGAAUUCCAUGUGGAGCGGUGAAAUGCGUAGAGAUAUGGAGGAACACCAGCGGCGAAGGCGCUCUACUGGGCCAAGACUGACACUGAGGAGCGAAAGCGUGGGGAGCGAACAGGAUUAGAUACCCUGU
Molecule: ribosomal RNA, 230 nt
Filed under: uncultured bacterium
Lineage: Bacteria
Description: partial 16S ribosomal RNA
Rfam family: Bacterial small subunit ribosomal RNA
Source: RNAcentral